UUCCCGGCAUUUCAUUGGCUAAGGUUCCUCCCUUCCCCUUGAGCUAAUUGGAGGAGCCUGAGCGUGGAGGGGAUGGAAUCCCGUCAAGGCGCGGUGGGGGGCGAUGAGUGAGUGCGCGCAAGGUUGGAGUUGCUUGCCUUAUGGAUCUGCAUUUAUUCCCCGCCGGUCACCUGCAGGGAUGCUGUCAGCAGAUACGGGAAUGCUUCACCCUGAAAGGGACUGAUGUCUGGCAACAUUGGUCUAAUGUAAGCAUAUGAGAUGUGGUACUCCUCCGGAGAUGUUGGGAGCUUUUUGUCGCCUUAUGAACUUUGGUACUUGGUUCACAAUGGAUCCAGGAGAGUUCUAAGUGGCAGGUAGUGUAAACAUCCUACACUCUCAGCUGUGGAAAAGAAGAAAGCUGGGAGAAGGCUGUUUACUCUCUCUGGCUUGGAAAGCAGCUGAGGAGGACAAGCCUGGAGAUCUUGAAAGGGUUUUGGUGGUGGUUGGUGGUUUCUGCUUUUGAAUUCAUAUUUUUCUUACAUGGCUGCAAGUUUGUGUAUUGAUCACAAAUCAAAUGUCCUUGUGAGAAGCUUUAAUUAGAAAAUAGUUUUUAAAACAAGACUGCAUUGUAAGGUGGGGGAGUAGUUGCACACAAAGCACAUCCUUGAUAGCUUUAUCAAAGACAGCACAAACCAGAAAGUGAAUGUUGGAUAAAUGGACUGAUUUUCAUUCAUGGGAAUUCCCCAUCUGAAAUGGAAUAAAAUUAGCAUUGAGGUAAAGGGAUGUGACUGAGAGAGGAAUGUUCUUAGAAUCCUUGUAACUUAAUACCAUUGACUAUGCAGCUGACAAGAAAAUUAUGGGGCUUAAUUAUUAAAAUUUUCAAAACUGCUGGUAAAAUGUGAUGGAAAAUUUUGUAACAGACUUGACAAAAAAUUGCUUGAAAAUAUGAACAUAAAGAAGAUAUUUCCUCUAUAACGCUUCUAUUAAACUGUAAUGAAAAAUGGCCUGAAAACCAAUAAAAUUUUGUCAAAUA
Molecule: long non-coding RNA, 1012 nt
Organism: Hemicordylus capensis (graceful crag lizard)
Lineage: Eukaryota; Metazoa; Chordata; Lepidosauria; Squamata; Cordylidae
Exons: 3
Source: RefSeq, a predicted model, not a curated record